UACUACAUGUAAAGUACCUGGGACAGUGCCUAGUGCAUAGUGAGUUCUCUAUAAGUAUUAGCUAUUAUUUUCCUUUUGAAUGUCCUCAUGGCAUCAAAUCUUUUACUUAUGCAGCAAACGCUUUUGAGUACAGCUAUGUGGAACACAUCAUGCUAGAUUCUGGGGAUAUGAAAAGGAGUAAAAUUCAGCACUUACUUCCAAGCAACUCACAGUGCAAUGAGGACGAUAGCAAGUCAAGGGGUAGACCUCCAACCGGAAGGAUCAUGGAAGGGCAUAGGAGAGACCUUCAAUCCAAAUAUAGGCCUUGAAAGGUGACUAGGAGUUCAUCAGUCAAUGAAAGGUAUUCCAGAAAGAAGGAAGAGGGUAUAUAAAGGGCUAGGGGCAAACAAGUGGUUGUGGCCUGUAGGUACCAGUCAGUGGCUCUAGAGUGGGAGACUGGAUGGUAAUAGGUGGGGCUGAUGGACAGAUUUCAGAUCAAGAAAAGCCAUGAGAGACACACUAAGACUUUGGAAUUUAUCCUAAAAUGUUUAUUGGAGAAUUAUUGGAAUUGUUUUAGGAAGUGACAAAAUCAGAUUAAUGAUUUAGAAAAAGUGAUCUGGCUGCAAUGUAGACACUGAGCUGGAGAGAAACCAUCCUGUAGGCAAAAAGAUCAGUCAAGACACUUUUUAAAGAUCCAACAUUGAAAUGAUGGAUGAGGGUCCUUGAGCCAGGGCAGUGGCAGAGGGACAGAAAAAGAGGCAGAUCUGAGAGAUAUUGAGCAAGUGAAAUGUCGCCAACCAGGUAAAGGAUGAGGGACAGAGAGAAGCCGAGGAGAACUCCCAGUUUCUGAGGACCUGGUGUAAAGCCAAGGAGGCAGAAAGUGGGAUGAAUCCCAGACAAGGGUGUUUCCAUGUGCGUGGAAUGGAAGCCCACAGAAGCAAAGGAGUUAAGAGCUUGGGCAGAGUGUCACUAGAGAUUCAGUUCCAUGCUCUAGACUGGAUAGAAAUCAAGAUGGCAGGAGGCUGGUGGAUUGAGAAUGAAACAGGUUGAAAAAUACUCCUUUGAGAAUGGAUAUUAUUUUGACUAUAGUUUAAAGUCAUUUCUAGUCAAAGCUUAAGAAAGUGGGUGAUCAAACAGGAAGCUAUAAUAUUAAAAGCAACCACAAAACCAAGCUCUAACAUUGAAAUAGACAAGCUGGUUUUCUUUUGUGAUUGUUAAACAAGCACUGCAGUUAGCCCUAUGAAAGAUCCAUUGAUCGGAUCUUUCAUUAAUUGUAAUUGGAUGGUUCAUUAAUUGUAGCCAAUGUACACAUUUUGAGCCAUGGCAGUACUGUUGGAAUGAGGGCUUUGUCCCAUAAGUUGACUACUGUAGAUGUGUAAGUCCUAGAGUACUUAUUUCAGACACAUUCACAUGACUUUAGAAUGUUAUUUAACCAUAUUAUGUGUGUACCUUGACUCCCAAUUGGAUUAUGAGCUUCUGAAGGAAAGUGGAUUAACUUUUUGUGUGUUUUUGGCUGUUAACACAGAUGUUGGGUCCAAAUGAGAGUGCUCAUAAUUAUCUGUGAAAAGAAUAAGAAGACAGAGUACUUAUCUUGAGAAUAAAUAGACAGUAAAUGCUGUGCUGUCUGGACUUUUCUCAACAGGAAAGCUUUGGAAGCGGGCAUUUUUGAUAGUCUCUAUUGCAAAUCAUUGAAUGCAGCCAUUGAAAUUCAACUGCAGUGCCAGCACAUUUGAAAGAGGCCUGAUAAAAAUGCAAAGUCUAUGCUGUCUCCAGUGACUUCAGCCAAGUAAAAUAAGCCUGGAGGGGAAAAUAAACCUUUUUCUAAAACUUCACACAGGGAAAAAGUUCCCUAAGUUUUUGAGAAAUGACUAGUAUUUCCAAAAUGGAUUUGGAGUGGGAAUGUGAGAAGCCAAAGGUAACCACUAUGAAAAAUAACGGGGCAAUUGGGAAGCACAGGUUACCUUAAUCAGGCUUGGAGAGGAUGUGAUAGAAAUGUAAAUCUAAAGCUGCCUCUAGAUCCCCUGGCUAAAUAGAAACUCCUAGAGGCAGAAUCAAUUUUUCACUGUUCGAUGAUGACUGCGUUUUCUAUAGGUUGAAAGCACAGAGGUAGGAAAGUUUCAAAGUUCUCAAGAAAUAAUAGGUGAAUGAAUUAAAAAUCAUUGCUUUUGCCAACCCACCCUGCCUGGCCUCUUUCUUCCCCUGGCGAGAGUUUGGUGUCUCCAUAUCGCUCUGCCCGUCCUGGACACAGUUUACAAUCCCAGCCACUAAUUAGCUUGUUAUUGUUUCCCAGUUUAGGAAGGAGGAGAGGCAAAGAGAUCCAGGGCUACUGGAGAACAGGCCAGGAUGGGGGCUUUCAUGGGGCGUCUCUAGGGAGAGCCUGAAAAGGCAAGAGAGAGGACAUCAAAGAUAAUUCCUUCUGCUUCAGAAUUUUGUGGAGGGUCUGCUCUACAUCACACGUGUGUGUGUGUGUGUAUGUGUGUUUGUGUGUGCAUGUGUGCAUGCACAUUAAUGAUCUGAUGAAUUUUUUUUUCUUCCUGAGCUGAGGAUUGGAGCAUAUUUAGGGAAUGCUGGACAAAACUGCUGAGAUUGGAACUUCUGUAGGAACUCUGACACCAUUGUCUCCAUCGCAAUGGGAGAUAUAUAGAAACAGGAUUGAGCUGAGCUGAAGAUUUUGAAAAGAUGGGAAACGCAGGACAGAAGGUGGAAAAGAAGAAAGAUAGCCCACUCUUUAAGUGUGGGCUGCACAUAGGGACUUCCCUCCAAAGAGGACAGUAAGGAAGGGGAAUGGGGAAAGAGUAACUUCACAGUGGAGGAAACUGACAAGCACUACCUCAGCCAGGUGACUAGGUCAACAUCAACAAUGGUAAGUCAUGUCAAUAGUGUAUGCCGCUGAUAUGAUGUGAUAAGAACGGGAUUUUACUUCUGUGGGAGCCCCCAAACCCAUAGCCUUAGUCUAAUCAUGAGAAAAACAGCAGAUAAAUUCCAAUAGGAGGACAGUCUAUGAAAUACCUGACUGGUACUCCUCAAAACUGCCCAGAGUGUCACAAAUAAGGCAAGUCUGAAAAAUUGUCUCAGCCUAGAGGGGCCUAAGGAGAUAAGAUGCCUAAAUAUAACAUGGAAUGAACAGGAAAGAACAUUAAGUAAAAACAAAAGAAAUCUGUCUGAAAAAAAUAUGGACUUGAAUUAAUAAUCAUCUGUCAUUAUUGGUUCAUGAAUUGUAACAAAUGUACUGUCCUAAUGUGAGAUGUUAAUUAUAGUGGAAAAUGGUUAUGGUGUAUGUGUGAACUCUCAGUACUAUCUUUGCAAUGUUUGUGUUUUUGUUUUUUGUUAUUGUUGUUAAAAUAAACUUUUUUGUUUUGUUA
Non-coding RNA from Macaca mulatta (Rhesus monkey), 3341 nucleotides. The record is from RefSeq and is a predicted model, not a curated record. NCBI's taxonomy places the organism in Eukaryota, Metazoa, Chordata, Mammalia, Primates, Cercopithecidae.